This 229-nucleotide unclassified non-coding RNA is filed under the name Hevea brasiliensis (rubber tree). Lineage: Eukaryota; Viridiplantae; Streptophyta; Magnoliopsida; Malpighiales; Euphorbiaceae. The record is from RNAcentral.
UAGCAGCUUCUCUAUCUUGUCCACCACAUGCACCACCAAUGACAGCUCCAAUUCUCUCCUUUUGUGAUUAGCUAACUACUAAACUUUGGGACUUUUGCUUUUGGUGAGGUUAUAUUGAAUAUAGCUAGUUAGGAACACUUCCUAGUAUUUUUAUUCAAAAAAAAAACAAGCUUUUCUUUUAUGAAUCAAUGGAAGAAAAACAAGAGAGGGAGAAGAGUUCUUGUUGUCG